GGGGAGCUGCUUAGUAUACUGAAUUGUUACACUGGGUUUGACAGUCCGACUCUUUGUCCAUCUGACGCAGUGAACGCCUCACCCGAGCUGACAGUUCGAUGCCACAGUACUUGCACUUUUCUAUCAUCGAUGUUCCCGGGGCGUUGUUCAGCCUGUGGAUGGUGGAUGCAGCUCUCCCAGUCAUCGUUCGUGAAUAGUUCACAUUCUUAGCUCUGUGAUUCUGUGUGUACCCAGGAACAUGGAUCGGUGCCACCAGUUGUUCGUUAUUCC
Long non-coding RNA from Gigantopelta aegis, 270 nucleotides. RefSeq lists it as uncharacterized. The transcript is spliced from 3 exons. NCBI's taxonomy places the organism in Eukaryota, Metazoa, Mollusca, Gastropoda, Neomphalida, Peltospiridae. The record is from RefSeq and is a predicted model, not a curated record.